RNAcentral lists this long non-coding RNA (1854 nucleotides) under Strigops habroptila (Kakapo). RNAcentral's name for it is "lncRNA (ENSSHBG00005010887.1)". Lineage: Eukaryota; Metazoa; Chordata; Aves; Psittaciformes; Psittacidae. The record is from RNAcentral.
GUUAACUUAAAAGCAAAUAGUCAUGUCUGCUCUAAGUCAGUCUGUAACAAGUGGGUACCAGAAAUGACAUUAAAGUGCUUGCAUUGUGUUUCAUCUUGGUUUUAUCUGUGUGUGAAAUACACUUUUUCUCAAAAGCUUAUCUGAAGCUCAGAAGUGUGGUGUCAGAAUACAUCUGCGUACUGCUAGGCCCUCAGAUCCAGAUACUGGUGCUGUCAGGAGAGAGCACAGCACAGCGUGUAUGGGGGCUUCACUGUAACAUUAAGCAUACAAAGUGUUGAUUUGCUUGCAGUUUUCCCCCAUAGCUAAACACUGAGGCCUGUGAGUAGUUUUAGGACUCGAGCAGUAAUGGGGUUGCAUGUCUCUGUUAAUCAUUGCCAGCUGCAGUGACAUGACCAGGAAGGCCAGUGUUUCAUUCCAUUCUGUUCAAUGAGGCUAAGCCUGUUGGAAAGGAUGCAUAAAAAGUAUGCUGUCGUGGGUAAUUCCUUGGCUUCUUCCACUACUAGCAAGUUUGGAAUCAACUAAUUAGCUUCAGAUUUUUUUUUCCUCUCCAUACCAGCUAGUGGGGCUGUUAAAUAGCUGCUUACUGGAAAAGGCAAAAAAGGGAGGAUUGGCCUUCUCCCACCUCUGUCAUUGCUGCUAGAUAAUGAUUGACACGUUAGGACUUGGCUGUGCAAUCCCGCAGUGGUCUGUGAAUACCCCAUCUCUAUAAAUGUUGCUUCUGAACACCAGUACUGAAGAGCUAACUGGGGAGGGUGGGGAGGAGCGUGGCUAGAAGUGAAUCUGGAGUGUUAAAAGGAUGCACAAAGAUAUAGUAUCCCUUAUGCAUGGUGUUUGUUGCUAUGGCAUAGAAAACAAAAUGUGCAUACUCUACCUCUGCUCCUGAGGGCCAUGAUAAAACCCAGGUGGUGGGUUUGAGACUAAACUUCUCCCUGCCUGGUCGGAUCACAUUGUGACCAUGGUGUGAUCUGCCUCCCAGCUAGAGGUGUGUACUGCAUCCCUUGGCUGCUCAGCAUUGCAGUUUGCCCUCAGCUCCAGUAAAAGGCUGGGUCUUGAGAAGGGAGGAAUCUGUUGCCGAGGUCCAAAGCAGUAGUCUCACAAUGCUAACCUCUAGUGUCUUCUUUUAGCUUUUGAAGCACUUCUAGGACUAUUGAACCUGAGGGCUGCCAGGAGUCCAGGGACAUUGCCCUCCUUCAUGAAGGGGAAGAAAGAGGGUGUUACUAAGGAGACAAACUAGGGUAAAAGAGUUGAAGUAGCUUGACAAAAUUGUGAAUGCCUUCACAUAAGGGAUAGUAUACCUCUGGCUGCCAUCAAACUUCUUGUACUCAGACUGGUGAUUUACGGUUUGUGCUCAGACAAGGUGCAGUUCUUGAGUCAACUACCUGCAUAUUCCUUCAUCUCUUCACAAGUGGUUAGGUUAGCCUGUUUCUGCCCCUUAUUCUUCCACUUAAUAUCUCGGAAUAAUUUAUAAAUCCCCCCUCAUAACUAAUGAGUCCAUGUAUUUGAAAACCUUAUUUUUAAGUUAGUAUUGAAAUGGUCAGAAUUUUCUGUGUGUUACUAUAGUAACUUUGGUUGUUAUCCUUUAGGUGAAGAUGAAGGCUGAGUGAAAGCGGUGUGCUCAUCCCUGGGAAGUAAGCAUAACUUCUGGUCUUGUUCUGAGCGGGUGAAGUAACGAAGGCUUCUGGGCAUUGACCUUCACCUUUGAAUCGUUCAGGAGCCGAGCAUGAGCACAUCCAGCACGGUGCCCAGUGGUACGAGGAGGGACCAGGAGAGCAAGAGAAAUGGAGAUGAAGUCUGAACGCAGGGAAGAGGAGCCAGGAACACACAACUUUCAAAAAUAAAACAUUUAAUAUUUUU